This 253-nucleotide ribosomal RNA is filed under the name uncultured bacterium. RNAcentral's name for it is "partial 16S ribosomal RNA". It matches the Rfam family "Bacterial small subunit ribosomal RNA", at positions 524 to 776 of the family's 1533-position model. The record is from RNAcentral.
UACGUAGGGGGCAAGCGUUGUCCGGAAUCAUUGGGCGUAAAGCGCGCGUAGGCGGCCCGGUAAGUCCGCUGUAAAAGUCCAGGGCUCAACCCUGGAAAGCCGGUGGAUACUGUCGGGCUAGAGUCCGGAAGAGGAGAGUGGAAUUCCUGGUGUAGCGGUGAAAUGCGCAGAUAUCAGGAAGAACACCCGUGGCGAAGGCGGCUCCCUGGGACGGUACUGACGCUGAGACGCGAAAGCGUGGGGAGCGAACAGG